GACGAACGCUGGCGGCGUGCUUAACACAUGCGAGUCGAACGGUGAUGCUCCAGCUUGCUGGAGUGGAUCAGUGGCGAACGGGUGAGUAACACGUGAGCAACCUGCCCCAGACUCUGGAAUAAGCGCUGGAAACGGCGUCUAAUACUGGAUACGAAACUGGCCCGCAUGGGCAUGGUUUGGAAAGUUUUUCGGUUUGGGAUGGGCUCGCGGCCUAUCAGCUUGUUGGUGAGGUAAUGGCUCACCAAGGCGACGACGGGUAGCCGGCCUGAGAGGGCGACCGGCCACACUGGGACUGAGACACGGCCCAGACUCCUACGGGAGGCAGCAGUGGGGAAUAUUGCACAAUGGGCGAAAGCCUGAUGCAGCGACGCCGCGUGAGGGAUGACGGCUUUCGGGUUGUAAACCUCUUUCAGCAGGGAAGAAGCGAAAGUGACGGUACCUGCAGAAGAAGCACCGGCUAACUACGUG
This 468-nucleotide ribosomal RNA is filed under the name uncultured bacterium. RNAcentral's name for it is "partial 16S ribosomal RNA". It matches the Rfam family "Bacterial small subunit ribosomal RNA", at positions 28 to 507 of the family's 1533-position model. The record is from RNAcentral.